ACCUCAACACAGGAAACAAAAGCCAAUAAAAAAUUGUGAUGAAUUUUUGUGGGAUUUGUUUGGACGCAAGACCCAAGAAUCAAAAUAGGAUUAUUUUCUUAACACCCAAAUUAAAGAAUAAAAAGGUUUAUCUCUUUCUCGGGUGUCGAAGUAUACGCUCUCAAGGGAAGAAAAAAUUAGGGCGAUUUUGUUUUGCUCUCCGACGACAGAAACCACGCACAGGUUGAUUGAUAGUUGAUCAGACUGAUUUGUUGAUUGCGGCUGAAGCAGUAGUGGCUCGAGUGGAGGUGUAAUCGAAUUUUGAUCAGAAAAAAAAAGGAUACCCGGCUGUGUGUUUAUCAGAAGUUUUUCAGAUCUGUUGUGCGAUCUGAAGUUUUUCCGGUGAUGAACAGAGUGUCAAAGGAUCAGAAACUCUGCUCUGAUACCAUGUUGUCGAGAAUAGGUAAAAAAGAGAUUGAAUUGUAGUCCUUUUGAUUGAUACAUUCUAUUACAUCCAGGCCUUCAAUUUAUAGACCAAACAUAAACUAAAAAUGGAUACAAGAAUAACUAAAGGGAAUAAACAAAGGCUGGAAAUCCGGAUUGUGAGCUGUAAUUGUGAGCAGAAGAUGGGAGAUUAGGUUUGACUGAACCCAAUAUUUUCCAAAUAUACUUUAUUUUCUAACAGUUUAUACCAA
Long non-coding RNA from Helianthus annuus (common sunflower), 674 nucleotides. RefSeq lists it as uncharacterized. The record is from RefSeq and is a predicted model, not a curated record. The transcript has 2 exons. NCBI's taxonomy places the organism in Eukaryota, Viridiplantae, Streptophyta, Magnoliopsida, Asterales, Asteraceae.